Molecule: ribosomal RNA, 471 nt
Filed under: uncultured Geobacter sp.
Lineage: Bacteria; Pseudomonadati; Thermodesulfobacteriota; Desulfuromonadia; Geobacterales; Geobacteraceae
Description: bacterial SSU rRNA
Rfam family: Bacterial small subunit ribosomal RNA
Source: RNAcentral
GGACGGGGCCCGCACAAGCGGUGGAGCAUGUGGUUUAAUUCGAUGCAACGCGAAGAACCUUACCUAGACUUGACAUCCCGGGAAUUCUUAGGAAACUAAGAAGUGCCUUUCGGGGAGCCCGGUGACAGGUGCUGCAUGACUGUCGUCAGCUCGUGUCGUGAGAUGUUGGGUUAAGUCCCGCAACGAGCGCAACCCUUGUCUUUAGUUGCCAUCAUUAAGUUGGGCACUCUAAAGAGACUGCCGGUGUCAAACCGGAGGAAGGUGGGGAUGACGUCAAGUCCUCAUGGCCUUUAUGUCCAGGGCUACACACGUGCUACAAUGGGCGGAACAAAGGGUUGCAAUACCGCAAGGUGGAGCUAAUCUCAAAAAACCGCUCUCAGUUCAGAUUGGAGUCUGCAACUCGACUCCAUGAAGGCGGAAUCGCUAGUAAUCGCGGAUCAGCACGCCGCGGUGAAUACGUUCCCGGGCCUU